ACAGGCAGGUUUCCCGACGACCCUUACGAUCGCGUUUGGAACCCCUCCAUCGAUCCUUCAUGGGUUACCUUCGUCCACCGAUUUGAAGGUGGACAAUGCCGACGAUUUAUUCGAGCCGCCUAUCACAGUUCUGCAGACCGCGGUGACUCCGGCUACUGGCCGGCAGCUGGACUUUUCCUUGGACGCCGCCUCCCCAGACGACAAGCUGUACCACGUCCUCUACUUCACCCAACUCCGGGCGCUGACGGGCAACGCGACCAGGGUGUUCAACAUCACCCGGAAUGGCGAGACCAGAUCUAGUUGGUAUACCCCGCGUUACCUAUCAUGUGGUUACACAUACAGCGUUGAGCCAUUCGAAGGCUAUUCUCGAUACCAAUACGUUCUCGACGCCACGAGCAACUCCACCCUCCCCCCCAUCAUCAACGCCUUCGAGGUAUACUCUCUGAAGCAGCUCACCCAAGCAGCCACCGAUUCUGGAGAUGGCUCAGAACUCGACAAAAAUAUACCACAGGAAUCUGGUUUCACUGGUUGGUUAUUGCAUCGAUAAAAAUUGCCUAGCUCUUGUUUAUGAAUAUAUGCAGCGAGGAAGUCUUCAUGAGAAUCUACAAGAUAAGGCUGGUCGUGCUAAAGCCUUGAACUGGGGUCAACGACUACGAAUUGCACUUGACGCUGCACGAGGACUGGAAUAUAUGCAUAAAGGAUGCAGGCCUCCAAUAAUCCAUAGAGAUAUCAAGACCAAUAACAUUCUCUUGAGUGAAGAACUAGAGGCUAGAUAGCAGAUUUUGGGUUAUCCAAGUCUUUCCAUACUGAUGACCAAACCCACGUGUCCACAAAGAUGAUGGUUGGCACCCCUGGAUAUAUCCAUCCUGAGUGCCAUCAAACUUACCAACUCACCGACAAGAGUGAUGUGUAUAGCUUUGGUAUAGUUCUGUUGGAGCUUAUCACAGGAAGACCUCCGAUUGUGCCUGGUCUGGGAAACAUUCACAUCAUGCAGUGGAUCACCCCAAGUCUUUCCUCGGGGAACAUAGAUGAAAUUGUUGAUGAAAAUCUACACGGAAAAUACGACCCUACUUCUGCAUGGAAGAUCCUGGAAUUAGCUCUCACGUGCACAGCAGAUAAAGGCAGCCAGAGACCAACAAUGUUCGAAGUAGUGAUGCAGCUGAAGAGCUGCUUGGAGCAAGAGAUUGAUUCUUACAAGAACGAGAACAUAUAUAGUAAAGGCUUUAAUGUAAGCCAAGAAACUGCAUCUGAUAUAGGACCAUUUGGUCCUUCUGCCAGAUAAAUCCAUCACAGUUAUUUCUGCUACGUAAUACUAUGUGUGGGUUUAGAUGAGAUAUGUUGAAUAGAGUCCUCGAAAGAAGUCCAGCUACAUUCAUGUUGGCUAGUAUUUCUAUGCAUGGCAAUGAUUUUGAGUUCUGCCACUCACUGGCCUGACUUCAGAACCACAAAAUCAAGCUUCAUCGUGGUUGUACAACUCUUUUGCUACAUAACAAGUUCUUGAAAUUGAGAUCUUGGGAGAUUAAAGCCAAAGGAAGAUGGUUAUCGAUGCAAAGCUGGUUAAGCUCAUGGUUUGCACCUAGUCAUUAUUCCUUUAGUGUAUGCCUUAUUAGUUUAGGUGCCUGCAUGGUGGUGUGUCUUUGAUUGUGUUGGUUAAUGUAUAAAAUGUCUGAACAUAUU
This is a long non-coding RNA of Musa acuminata AAA Group (dessert banana), 1677 nucleotides long. RefSeq lists it as uncharacterized. The record is from RefSeq and is a predicted model, not a curated record. NCBI's taxonomy places the organism in Eukaryota, Viridiplantae, Streptophyta, Magnoliopsida, Zingiberales, Musaceae. The transcript has 5 exons.